CAUGACGGGGGCCCGCACAAGCGGUGGAGCAUGUGGUUUAAUUCGAAGCAACGCGAAGAACCUUACCAAAUCUUGACAUCCUUUGACAACUCUAGAGAUAGAGCUUUCCCCUUCGGGGGACAAAGUGACAGGUGGUGCAUGGUUGUCGUCAGCUCGUGUCGUGAGAUGUUGGGUUAAGUCCCGCAACGAGCGCAACCCUUAAGCUUAGUUGCCAUCAUUAAGUUGGGCACUUUAAGUUGACUGCCGGUGACAAACCGGAGGAAGGUGGGGAUGACGUCAAAUCAUCAUGCCCCUUAUGAUUUGGGCUACACACGUGCUACAAUGGACAAUACAAAGGGCAGCGAAACCGCGAGGUCAAGCAAAUCCCAUAAAGUUGUUCUCAGUUCGGAUUGUAGUCUGCAACUCGACUACA
This 412-nucleotide ribosomal RNA is filed under the name Staphylococcus aureus. RNAcentral describes it as "bacterial SSU rRNA". It matches the Rfam family "Bacterial small subunit ribosomal RNA", at positions 911 to 1320 of the family's 1533-position model. Lineage: Bacteria; Bacillati; Bacillota; Bacilli; Caryophanales; Staphylococcaceae. The record is from RNAcentral.